RNAcentral lists this ribosomal RNA (587 nucleotides) under Lodderomyces parapsilosis. RNAcentral's name for it is "eukaryotic LSU rRNA". It matches the Rfam family "Eukaryotic large subunit ribosomal RNA", at positions 64 to 664 of the family's 3401-position model. The record is from RNAcentral. Lineage: Eukaryota; Fungi; Ascomycota; Pichiomycetes; Serinales; Debaryomycetaceae.
CUCAUCGGUUAUUGCCUUAGUAGCGGCGAGUGAGCGGCAAAAGCUCAAAUUUGAAAUCUGGCACUUUCAGUGUCCGAGUUGUAAUUUGAAGAAGGUAUCUUUGGGUCUGGCUCUUGUCUAUGUUUCUUGGAACAGAACGUCACAGAGGGUGAGAAUCCCGUGCGAUGAGAUGUCCCAGACCUAUGUAAAGUUCCUUCGAAGAGUCGAGUUGUUUGGGAAUGCAGCUCUAAGUGGGUGGUAAAUUCCAUCUAAAGCUAAAUAUUGGCGAGAGACCGAUAGCGAACAAGUACAGUGAUGGAAAGAUGAAAAGAACUUUGAAAAGAGAGUGAAAAAGUACGUGAAAUUGUUGAAAGGGAAGGGCUUGAGAUCAGACUUGGUAUUUUGUAUGUUACUCUCUCGGGGGUGGCCUCUACAGUUUACCGGGCCAGCAUCAGUUUGAGCGGUAGGAUAAGUGCAAAGAAAUGUGGCACUGCUUCGGUAGUGUGUUAUAGUCUUUGUCGAUACUGCCAGCUUAGACUGAGGACUGCGGCUUCGGCCUAGGAUGUUGGCAUAAUGAUCUUAAGUCGCCCGUCUUGACCCCCGAAACC